Molecule: ribosomal RNA, 465 nt
Filed under: Vreelandella stevensii
Lineage: Bacteria; Pseudomonadati; Pseudomonadota; Gammaproteobacteria; Oceanospirillales; Halomonadaceae
Description: partial 16S ribosomal RNA
Rfam family: Bacterial small subunit ribosomal RNA
Source: RNAcentral
CCUACGGGAGGCAGCAGUGGGGAAUAUUGGACAAUGGGGGGAACCCUGAUCCAGCCAUGCCGCGUGUGUGAAGAAGGCCCUCGGGUUGUAAAGCACUUUCAGUGAGGAAGAACGCCUGGUGGUUAAUACCCAUCAGGAAAGACAUCACUCACAGAAGAAGCACCGGCUAACUCCGUGCCAGCAGCCGCGGUAAUACGGAGGGUGCGAGCGUUAAUCGGAAUUACUGGGCGUAAAGAGCGCGUAGGUGGCUUGAUAAGCCGGUUGUGAAAGCCCCGGGCUCAACCUGGGAACGGCAUCCGGAACUGUCAAGCUAGAGUGCAGGAGAGGAAGGUAGAAUUCCCGGUGUAGCGGUGAAAUGCGUAGAGAUCGGGAGGAAUACCAGUGGCGAAGGCGGCCUUCUGGACUGACACUGACACUGAGGUGCGAAAGCGUGGGUAGCAAACAGGAUUAGAUACCCCUGUAGUC